RNAcentral lists this ribosomal RNA (301 nucleotides) under uncultured bacterium. Its description in RNAcentral is "partial 16S ribosomal RNA". It matches the Rfam family "Bacterial small subunit ribosomal RNA", at positions 509 to 807 of the family's 1533-position model. The record is from RNAcentral.
CAGUCGCCGCGGGAACACGUAGGUGGCAAGCGUUGUCCGGAAUUAUUGGGCGUAAAGGGCUCGCAGGCGGUUUCUUAAGUCUGAUGUGAAAGCCCCCGGCUCAACCGGGGAGGGUCAUUGGAAACUGGGAAACUUGAGCGCAGAAGAGGAGAGUGGAAUUCCACGUGUAGCGGUGAAAUGCGUAGAGAUGUGGAGGAACACCAGUGGCGAAGGCGACUCUCUGGUCUGUAACUGACGCUGAGGAGCGAAAGCGUGGGGAGCGAACAGGAUUAGAGACCCCUGUAGUCCCUGUCUCUUAUAC